RNAcentral lists this long non-coding RNA (3753 nucleotides) under Octopus vulgaris (common octopus). Lineage: Eukaryota; Metazoa; Mollusca; Cephalopoda; Octopoda; Octopodidae. The record is from RNAcentral.
CCAAGGAAAAUAAUUUUUAUUCUAUUCAUUAAAAAAUACAUUCAUAUAUAUAUAUAUAUAUACAUAUGUGUGAGUGUGUAUGUAUACAUACAUACACAUACAAUAUUUCAAGAUAUAUUUAUUGUUUCUAUAACAUAUAAAAAUACUACAUCAUAAAAAAAAAAGGAACAAUAUAGUUUUAAUAUUUACAAUAUUUGCUUUGCCUUUUUUUCUUUUUGUUUUCCAUAUUUUUUUUUUUCUUCAAGCUAAUAGAGUUGGCUUUAACUUUACUCAGAGUAUAAGCUUCUAACUGAGAUCUUGUUCAUAAAGAAUCUGUAUUUGUAGCCCCAGGAGUUGAGGAGAGAAUCUCAAGAAAAAAACAAAACACCAUCACUAAGACCACAGUCCUAAAAUCUUAUUUCUUAGAAAAAGUGAUAUGAUUUUUUUUUUUCAUAAAUAUAUUUUUCAAAAUACAAUAAAAUAAGUGUCUGGAUUACAGGUUAAACAUCAUUCCUAAAAUAGAGUCAGAACCCUUUUUUUUUUUUUUUUAAUUCUGUUCCUAGUUCUGUAUUUUCAUUCCUUUCUGUCACAUUUAAUUUUUUUUUAACCCUUUAGCAUUUAAACUGGCCAUUUCUGGCCUAAAUAUUGUUUUAUGUUUUAUGUUCAAACCAGCCAGAUCAGGUCUCUUACACUACCCCUACAAUGUCGUUCUAAAAAUAAACAAUCACAUCAUCAGAAUCUCAAAGCCUCAAGAUAAUGCAUGAUUAAUUCAAAACAACUGGAAUAAAUAAACACCACAUUCGACAGAGUAAUCCGAGUGGCUAAAAGGGUUAAUCCUUUUCUCAUGAAAUACACCAGUUUUUAGCUAAUUUUAUAAAACAAUCAAGAAUUUGGCAGGAUUUAGCAAAAUUUUUUUCCAUUUAUUAAUAUUAUAUAUAUUUUAUGCUUAGAAUUGUGAAAACAUGGAAUAAACCAUAUGUGUUGGUUGUUAGCUGCCAGGAUACUGAAUCUUUUGAAAAUUCCAACACUUUCUGAAAUUUACACUAUUCCUGAUGUACCUAGGCACAUUUGCCCUUUUUGUGGCCCAUUUCCUGUUCAUUUUGAUUUUAUUCUGUAUUGAGUACUUCUUGCUUUCAUUGCUGUCUUUCUUUACUUACAGCUGCUCUCUGUCCUCUCUUACCUUUUCCCAAUAAUUUGCAAUGCACCUGAGCAUUACUUACAAAAUUGGAAAGCAACAGAAGUGCCCAUGAUUUUUGGAAACAUUUUUUCCAUGCCCAGGAUUGCUGAAGCAUGGAAUAAACUGCUGGCAUCGGUUGUUGGGACAUUACAUUCUGCAAAACUUCCAGGCUUCCUGAAAUUCAACAACAGUACACCUGACGCCCCACCUUUAUUUUUAAACGACUCGUUUACCGUUCCCUUCCUGUGAAUUAUUCUAUGCACUCUGCAUGCACUUUUGGUUACCAUUUCCUGAUGACUUGUAGUGCAGCACCCGAGCACUGUAUACGAUAAGUUCCUUAUUCAUUGUAUACAAUAGACUCAUUAUCAUUUAAGGUCCAUGUUCCAUGGUGGCACAGGAUGGACAGUUUGACAAAAUCCAAUGAGUCCAAUGACUGCAAUGUGCUCCACUUUCUACUUUGGAACAACCCCCAAAGCUGGAGAUCUUCCCAACACCAAAUAAUUUACACCUUGUAUUGCGUGCUUUUUUUCAUGUCACCAGCACUAGCUAACAUGACUAUGAACCCUGAAAGAGGCAGCUUUAUGCUAGGAGAUGAGGGUGGCUAAAAUAUGAGGGAAGGGGCCAAAGCAAAACAGGUCUCUUGCUGUAGAGGAAGAAGUACACGAUAAACUCAUUAUUACAAUUUGUGUAAAAUUAUGAUGGCAGGUUUAACCCUUUAGCUUUUCAACUGACCAUUUUCAGCCCAUAUAUUCUCUCUGUUUUAUAUUGAAACUGGCCACAUCUGGCCAUUCACACCUACCCCACAAUGUUAUUCUAAAAACAAACAAUCACAUCUUAUUGUAAUCUUGAAGCUUCAAGAUAAUUCAGGAUUAAUUCAGAACAAUGGAAAUGUGUGAGUAUUGCAUUUGACAGAAUAAUCUGAAUGCUUGAGGGUUAACAUAAAUAUGAACACUCUAAAACGGGGUUGUUGUUUCUAUAAGGGAACCAUAAGCAGUCUCAUAAGUAUGUUGGUAUCAAAAGGGUUUGGCUAAUUCAUAGGAAAAUAUGUCUUUUAUGAAUUGAAAUUUUCUCCGUGAUGGUAAAAUGUAAAGAUAUCUAAAAAUUACUUCUCACAUGAUGUAUUCUGAGGUGGGAUGGUGAAGCUUUAUAUUGAUGGCAUUAACAUUAUCAAGACAUUAUCAUACGCAUGGUGAGCAGCAAGAAUCAGAACAAUGACCGGCAUAUUUAGUCUUAAAACAUUCAGGCAGAUUCAAAUGUAAAUAUGCUAAUUUCGUGGUGUUUCAUCAGAGGUGAAGAGCUCCUCCUAUUAAUUACUGGUAGGGACACCGUAUUUUGUUAUGCAACCAUAAUAUUCUACCAAAUAUAUUAAAUGUUUAUAAGUCAAUCCUGUAUCCUACCUGUGUUAGCAGUGCAAAUCAGUCACUUUUAAGUUAUCUCUACUGACUUUCUACAGAAACUAGAGCCAGCACUGAAAGUUACGAUGUUUCAUAUACGAAUACGUCUAUGUAUAAACAAUGUGAUCGAAGAUGGAAAAAUGAGUAAUUGGUGUAUAUGGAUAUUUCAGGAGUUCUUGCUCCUUCUUCAGUAUCACAUCCAACCAAUUAACCGUCCAUGAACACAUUGCUUAAAUAACCCCUAAUAUUUAGCUGUGUAACACAAUUGGAUUUAUUAAUCUUACAUAUUAAACACGUUCCUGGCAACUGGUAUGUACUUAUUAAUUGUGGGUGAGUUGGGGCACAGUAUUUUGCUCUGCAACCAUAAAUAUUCUACCAAGUAUAUUAAAGGCUUACUAGUCGAAACUUUAAAAAGCUUCUCCCAUAUGACAAACGUUUGUUUGCAAGAUACACAUAGGCACAGGAGUGGCUGUGAGGUAAGUAGCUUGCUUACCAACCACAUGGUUCUGGGUUCAGUCCCACUUUGUGGAGCAACUUGAGUGGAUUUGGAAGACGGAAACUGAAAGAAGCCCAUCAUCUGUGUGUGUGUGUGUGUUAGCAUGGAAAGCGGACGCUAAAUGAUGAUGAUGAUGAUGUGUCUGUCCCUUACCACUAUCACUUGAAAAAACCAAUGUUGGUGUGUUUAUGUCCCCAUAACUUAGUGGUUUGGUAAAGAGACAGAUAGAAUAAGUCCCGGGGUCAAUUUAUUCAACUAAAGUAGCUUGCUAACCAACCACAUGGUUCCGGGUUCAGUCCCACUGCGUGACACCUUGGGCAAGUGUCUUCUACUAUAGCCUUGGGCUGACCAAAGCCUUGUGAGUGAAUUUGGUAGAUGGAAACUGAAAGAAGCCCGUCGUAUAUAUGUAUAUGUGUGCGUGUGUGUGUAUAUGUUUCCCCCCCCCUACAUCGCUUGACAACCGAUGCUGGUGUGUUUACGUCGCUGUAACUUAGCAGUUCGGCAAAAGGGACUGAUAGAAUAAGUACUAGGCUUACAAAGAAUAAGUCCUGGGGUCGAUUUGCUUGACUAAAGGCGGUGCUCCAGCAUGGCCACAGUCAAAUGACUGAAACAAGUAAAAAAAAUAAAAACUGGAUUCAUUGAUGCAACAGACUCUGGUUUGACAGCCAUUGUUUUGACAUUGUUGUGUCUCGUCAGCUUGAGACACC